AAAGAAUUUCGGUAUGGGAUGGGGAUGCGUUCCAUUAGUUAGUUGGCGGGGUAACGGCCCACCAAGACAACGAUGGAUAGGGGUUCUGAGAGGAAGGUCCCCCACAUUGGAACUGAGACACGGUCCAAACUCCUACGGGAGGCAGCAGUGAGGAAUAUUGGUCAAUGGACGGGAGUCUGAACCAGCCAAGUAGCGUGAAGGAUGACUGCCCUAUGGGUUGUAAACUUCUUUUAUAUGGGAAUAAAACGUUCCACGUGUGGAAUUUUGUAUGUACCAUAUGAAUAAGGAUCGGCUAACUCCGUGCCAGCAGCCGCGGUAAUACGGAGGAUCCGAGCGUUAUCCGGAUUUAUUGGGUUUAAAGGGAGCGUAGGUGGAUUGUUAAGUCAGUUGUGAAAGUUUGCGGCUCAACCGUAAAAUUGCAGUUGAAACUGGCAGUCUUGAGUACAGUAGAGGUGGGCGGAAUUCGUGGUGUAGCGGUGAAAUGCUUAGAUAUCACGAAGAACUCCGAUUGCGAAGGCAGCUCACUGGACUGCAACUGACACUGAGGCUCGAAAGUGUGGGUAUCAAACAGGAUUAGAUACCCUGGUAGUCCACACAGUAAACGAUGAAUACUCGCUGUUUGCGAUAUACAGCAAGCGGC
Molecule: ribosomal RNA, 640 nt
Filed under: uncultured bacterium
Lineage: Bacteria
Description: bacterial SSU rRNA
Rfam family: Bacterial small subunit ribosomal RNA
Source: RNAcentral